UGCAGUCGAGCGGUAACAGAUCCAGCUUGCUGGAUGCUGACGAGCGGCGGACGGGUGAGUAAUGCAUAGGAAUCUGCCCGAUAGUGGGGGAUAACCUGGGGAAACCCAGGCUAAUACCGCAUACGUCCUACGGGAGAAAGGGGGCUCCGGCUCCCGCUAUGGGAUGAGCCUAUGUCGGAUUAGCUAGUUGGUGAGGUAACGGCUCACCAAGGCCACGAUCCGUAGCUGGUCUGAGAGGAUGAUCAGCCACAUCGGGACUGAGACACGGCCCGAACUCCUACGGGAGGCAGCAGUGGGGAAUAUUGGACAAUGGGGGAAACCCUGAUCCAGCCAUGCCGCGUGUGUGAAGAAGGCCCUCGGGUUGUAAAGCACUUUCAGCGAGGAAGAACGCCUAGCGGUUAAUACCCGCUAGGAAAGACAUCACUCGCAGAAGAAGCACCGGCUAACUCCGUGCCAGCAGCCGCGGUAAUACGGAGGGUGCAAGCGUUAAUCGGAAUUACUGGGCGUAAAGCGCGCGUAGGUGGCUUGAUAAGCCGGUUGUGAAAGCCCCGGGCUCAACCUGGGAACGGCAUCCGGAACUGUCAAGCUAGAGUGCAGGAGAGGAAGGUAGAAUUCCCGGUGUAGCGGUGAAAUGCGUAGAGAUCGGGAGGAAUACCAGUGGCGAAGGCGGCCUUCUGGACUGACACUGACACUGAGGUGCGAAAGCGUGGGUAGCAAACAGGAUUAGAUACCCUGGUAGUCCACGCCGUAAACGAUGUCGACCAGCCGUUGGGUGCCUAGCGCACUUUGUGGCGAAGUUAACGCGAUAAGUCGACCGCCUGGGGAGUA
Molecule: ribosomal RNA, 828 nt
Filed under: uncultured bacterium
Lineage: Bacteria
Description: bacterial SSU rRNA
Rfam family: Bacterial small subunit ribosomal RNA
Source: RNAcentral